GCGAAAUUCCUAAAGGGGGGCGAUAUUCCUAGGAGAUUCGCCCCCCUGGGGGGCGAUAUUCCUAGGAGAUUCGCCCCGGGGGGGGGGGGCGAAUAUCCUAGGAAUAUCGCCCCCCUUUUGAGAGGGG
RNAcentral lists this microRNA precursor (127 nucleotides) under Paramuricea clavata. Lineage: Eukaryota; Metazoa; Cnidaria; Anthozoa; Malacalcyonacea; Plexauridae. The record is from RNAcentral.